AGAGUUUGAUCAUGGCUCAGAUUGAACGCUGGCGGCGGGCCUAACACAUGCAAGUCGAACGGUAACAGGAAGCAGCUUGCUGCUUCGCUGACGAGUGGCGGACGGGUGAGUAAUGUCUGGGAAGCUGCCUGAUGGAGGGGGAUAACUACUGGAAACGGUAGCUAAUACCGCAUAAUGUCGCAAGACCAAAGAGGGGGACCUUCGGGCCUCUUGCCAUCGGAUGUGCCCAGAUGGGAUUAGCUUGUUGGUGGGGUAACGGCUCACCAAGGCGACGAUCCCUAGCUGGUCUGAGAGGAUGACCAGCCACACUGGAACUGAGACACGGUCCAGACUCCUACGGGAGGCAGCAGUGGGGAAUAUUGCACAAUGGGCGCAAGCCUGAUGCAGCCAUGCCGCGUGUAUGAAGAAGGCCUUCGGGUUGUAAAGUACUUUCAGCGGGGAGGAAGGGAGUAAAGUUAAUACCUUUGCUCAUUGACGUUACCCGCAGAAGAAGCACCGGCUAACUCCGUGCCAGCAGCCGCGGUAAUACGGAGGGUGCAAGCGUUAAUCGGAAUUACUGGGCGUAAAGCGCACGCAGGCGGUUUGUUAAGUCAGAUGUGAAAUCCCCGGGCUCAACCUGGGAACUGCAUCUGAUACUGGCAAGCUUGAGUCUCGUAGAGGGGGGUAGAAUUCCAGGUGUAGCGGUGAAAUGCGUAGAGAUCUGGAGGAAUACCGGUGGCGAAGGCGGCCCCCUGGACGAAGACUGACGCUCAGGUGCGAAAGCGUGGGGAGCAAACAGGAUUAGAUACCCUGGUAGUCCACGCCGUAAACGAUGUCGACUUGGAGGUUGUGCCCUUGAGGCGUGGCUUCCGGAGCUAACGCGUUAAGUCGACCGCCUGGGGAGUACGGCCGCAAGGAUAAAACUCAAAUGAAUUGACGGGGGCCCGCACAAGCGGUGGAGCAUGUGGUUUAAUUCGAUGCAACGCGAAGAACCUUACCUGGUCUUGACAUCCACGGAAGUUUUCAGAGAUGAGAAUGUGCCUUCGGGAACCGUGAGACAGGUGCUGCAUGGCUGUCGUCAGCUCGUGUUGUGAAAUGUUGGGUUAAGUCCCGCAACGAGCGCAACCCUUAUCCUUUGUUGCCAGCGGUCCGGCCGGGAACUCAAAGGAGACUGCCAGUGAUAAACUGGAGGAAGGUGGGGAUGACGUCAAGUCAUCAUGGCCCUUACGACCAGGGCUACACACGUGCUACAAUGGCGCAUACAAAGAGAAGCGACCUCGCGAGAGCAAGCGGACCUCAUAAAGUGCGUCGUAGUCCGGAUUGGAGUCUGCAACUCGACUCCAUGAAGUCGGAAUCGCUAGUAAUCGUGGAUCAGAAUGCCACGGUGAAUACGUUCCCGGGCCUUGUACACACCGCCCGUCACACCAUGGGAGUGGGUUGCAAAAGAAGUAGGUGGCUUAACCUUCGGGAGGGCGUUUACCACUUUGUGAUUCAUGACUGGGGUGAAGUCGUAACAAGGUA
RNAcentral lists this ribosomal RNA (1500 nucleotides) under metagenome. Its description in RNAcentral is "bacterial SSU rRNA". It matches the Rfam family "Bacterial small subunit ribosomal RNA". The record is from RNAcentral.